UUCCAUUUAAUAUCCGUUCCCCCGCUGUCGAGGAUCCGUGGAAUUCUUCAGGGGUAAAGGGUUUUGAGCUUGGAAUUCUUCAGGAGUAAAGUGUUUUGAGCUUGGAAUUCUUCAGGCUAAAUGUGUUUUUAGUUUGGAAUUCUUCAGGGGUAAAUGGUUUUGAGCUUGGAAUUCUUCAGGGGUAAAGGGUUUUGAGCUUGGAAUUCUUCAGGGGUAAAGAGGUUUGAGAUUGAAAUUUUUCAGAGCUUGGAAUUCUUCACGGGUGAAGGGUUUUGAGCUUGGAAUUCUUCAGGGGUAAAAGGUUUUGAGCUUGAAAUUCUUCAGGGAUAAAGGGUUUUGAGCUUGGAAUUCUUUAGGGGUGAAGGGUUUUGAGCUUGGAAUUCUUCAGGGGUAAAGUGUUUUGAGCUUGGAAUUCUUCAGGGGUAAAGUGUUUUGAGUUUGGAAUUCUUCUGGGGUAAAUGGUUUUGAGCUUGGAAUUCUUCAGGGGUAAAGGGUUUUGAGCUUGGAAUUCUUUAGGGGUAAAGAGGUUUGAGAUUGAAAUUUUUCAGAGCUUGGAAUUCUUCAGGGGUGAAGGGUUUUGAGCUUGAAAUUCUUCAGGGGUAAAAGGUUUUGAGCUUGAAAUUCUUCAGGGGUAAAGGGUUUUGAGCUUGGAAUUCUUUAGGGGUGAAGGGUUUUGAGCUUGGAAUUCUUCAGGGGUAAAAGAUUUUGAGCUUGGAAUUCUUCAGGGGUAAAAGGUUUUCAGCUUGGAAUUCUUCAGGGGUAAAGAGUUUUGAGCUUGGAAUUUUGGAAUUCUUCAGGGGUAAACAGUUUUGAGCUUGGAAUUCUUCAGGGGUAUGACAAUGAAAAACAUGUAUCCUCGACAGGGGGGUACGGAUAUUAAAUGGAAUAGCCCAUUUCUGGCAAUUUCGCUAAAUUUUCACCAAAUUGUAUUGUGUUUUUCAUGUUGUGUUGUACUCUGG
Non-coding RNA from Paramuricea clavata, 959 nucleotides. Lineage: Eukaryota; Metazoa; Cnidaria; Anthozoa; Malacalcyonacea; Plexauridae. The record is from the annotation of a GenBank genome assembly.